Molecule: ribosomal RNA, 253 nt
Filed under: uncultured bacterium
Lineage: Bacteria
Description: partial 16S ribosomal RNA
Rfam family: Bacterial small subunit ribosomal RNA
Source: RNAcentral
UACGAAGGGUGCAAGCGUUACUCGGAAUUACUGGGCGUAAAGCGUGCGUAGGUGGUGAGUUAAGUCUGUCGUGAAAGCCCCGGGCUCAACCUGGGAAUGGCGAUGGAUACUGGCUCGCUAGAGUGCGGUAGAGGAGAGUGGAAUUCCCGGUGUAGCAGUGAAAUGCGUAGAGAUCGGGAAGAACAUCGGUGGCGAAGGCGGCCUGCUGGGCCGUUGCUGACGCUGAGGCGCGACAGCGUGGGGAGCAAACAGG